UUAACAUGAUGAAGAAACUAUAACCAGUUCUGCUACUGAGCGUUCUUGAAGAUAAACCAAACUUACCAAAACUUCUGAUUG
This 81-nucleotide small nucleolar RNA is filed under the name Tortispora caseinolytica NRRL Y-17796. The record is from RNAcentral. Lineage: Eukaryota; Fungi; Ascomycota; Trigonopsidomycetes; Trigonopsidales; Trigonopsidaceae.